This 274-nucleotide ribosomal RNA is filed under the name uncultured bacterium. RNAcentral's name for it is "partial 16S ribosomal RNA". It matches the Rfam family "Bacterial small subunit ribosomal RNA", at positions 523 to 796 of the family's 1533-position model. The record is from RNAcentral.
AUACGAAAGGUGCAAGCGUUGUUGGGAUUUACUGGGCGUAAAGAGAGUGUAGGUUGUUUAUUAAGUCGGAUGUGAAAUCCCGGGGCUCAACCUCGGAACUGCAUUCGAUACUGGUAGACUAGAGUUCGGGAGGGGUAAGCGGAAUUCCGUGUGUAGCAGUGAAAUGCGUAGAUAUACGGAGGAACACCUGAGGCGAAGGCGGCUUACUGGACCGAUACUGACACUGAGACUCGAAAGCGUGGGUAGCAAACAGGAUUAGAAACCCUAGUAGUCC